AUGCUGUGAAAGAAAGAGCUGUCAGUCACUGGGGUUCUCUAAAGACAGUCGCCUGGGUUCAUGUUUUACAUACCCAGUGUAAAAUGCAAGGUAAAUGUGAGGUAAAUGUGAGGUUAAUGUGAGGUAAAUGUGAUGUAACUGUGAGGUAACUGUGAGGUAAAUGUGAUGUAAAUGUGAGGUUAAUGUGAGGUAAAUGUGAUGUAAGUGUGAGGUUAAUGUGAUGUAAAUGUGAGGUAAAUGUGAGGUUAAUGUGAAGUAAAUGUGAUGUAAAUGUGAGGUAAAUGUGAUGUAAAUGUGAGGUUAAUGUGAGGUAAAUGUGAUGUAAGUGUGAGGUUUAUGUGAGGUAAAUGUGAGGUAAAUGUGAGGUAAAUGUGAGGUAAAUCUUUGAUUAGAUUAGAGCAAGCCUGGAUCCAUGAUGCUCUUCACUUCAGUGAUUCUUAUUCACUCUGCAUGAUGAAAUGCCUCCUU
This is a long non-coding RNA of Ictalurus punctatus (channel catfish), 468 nucleotides long. The record is from Ensembl. Lineage: Eukaryota; Metazoa; Chordata; Actinopteri; Siluriformes; Ictaluridae.